RNAcentral lists this ribosomal RNA (1038 nucleotides) under Triticum aestivum (bread wheat). RNAcentral describes it as "partial small subunit ribosomal RNA". Lineage: Eukaryota; Viridiplantae; Streptophyta; Magnoliopsida; Poales; Poaceae. The record is from RNAcentral.
AUGGGACGCCGUGCCGAGGCAGCGGGCGGCGCCGCUCGCGACUUGCUCCCUUGUGUCCCACCUGCCGGUCGCGGACCUGAAGGUCUCCACGCGCACGCGCUGACGCCGGCGCCGGGCGAGGAGGACCACGGUGAAGGUGAGCAGGCCAGUGGACGACGCGUCGUAGUGGAAACCCGUGUUGGCCGCGCUGACCGGCGAGAUGGUGGACGGGGGGAGCAAAAGCCAGCGGUUCGCGGCCGGGUCGCACACAUAGUAGCGGCUCCGGCUGCAGCCCAGCAGCAGCCGGCCGUGCGACGCCACGAUCGAGAUGUCGAGCAUCGGGACGGUGCACUCGAAGAAGACGACGUAAUCUUCUACUCGCUCUCCCAGGGGCGGCGCCGGCACAGCAUCCUCAUCCGAGGCGUCCGUCGUCGUUGUGGUUGUGGCCUGGCCAGACGAGAUGUCGACGCCAUCCACAGGCAGAUCGUGGCCAUGCCGAUCAGCGUCGUCGUGGUCGUCCGCCGCAGGAGAAGCAGGAUCGUCCGUGCCGGUGGAGUAGAGAAGUUGGAAUUGGAACACGGAGUCGUCUCCAGCCGUGUCAAGGAGGCAGGGCUGCGUGUCGGAGUUGGUAGCCAUGUACUUGCGCUGGAGAGGGACGUUGACGGGGACGCGACCUGCGGGUUCGAUGGGGACGAGGGUGAGGUGGGUGAAGUAACCGACGUUGCGCCGCGGCUGGAUGACGAGCGCGUACGGGCGGUCGUCGAGGAGCGGGAGCGGCCGCGGGGAGAGAUGGCGGCUGAGGAACGUCGGCAGGGAGAGCACCGUGCGCCACCACGGGCUGACGGCGGCGACACGGUAGGCAUCCUUGGUGGGCAGCCGGUAAAGAAUUUCGGAGAGGAUGCCGUCGUCCAGGUGCGGCAUGGGUCGCGGCGCGUCGCCGCAUCUCGGCGUGAUGGGAUUCGCCAUCUGCACUUUCCUUCCCUAUGUCUCCGUGACUCCAUCGGUAUUUUUCUGUUUAUAUUAUCAAAACAACAAAUCAAGACGCACGCGGCCCAGUAA